RNAcentral lists this ribosomal RNA (449 nucleotides) under uncultured bacterium. RNAcentral describes it as "partial 16S ribosomal RNA". It matches the Rfam family "Bacterial small subunit ribosomal RNA", at positions 29 to 523 of the family's 1533-position model. The record is from RNAcentral.
AACGAACGCCGGCGGCAUGCCUAACACAUGCAAGUCGAACGAGAUCUUCGGGUCUAGUGGCGCACGGGUGCGUAACGCGUGGGAAUCUGCCCUUUGGUUCGGAAUAACAGUUGGAAACGACUGCUAAUACCGGAUGAUGACGAAAGUCCAAAGAUUUAUCGCCAGAGGAUGAGCCCGCGUAGGAUUAGCUAGUUGGUGUGGUAAAGGCGCACCAAGGCGACGAUCCUUAGCUGGUCUGAGAGGAUGAUCAGCCACACUGGGACUGAGACACAGCCCAGACUCCUACGGGAGGCAGCAGUGGGGAAUAUUGGACAAUGGGCGAAAGCCUGAUCCAGCAAUGCCGCGUGAGUGAUGAAGGCCUUAGGGUUGUAAAGCUCUUUUACCCGGGAUGAUAAUGACAGUACCGGGAGAAUAAGCUCCGGCUAACUCCGUGCCAGCCGCCGCAGUAA